GACGAACGCUGGCGGCGUGCUUAACACAUGCAAGUCGAGCGAGGCCCUUCCUUCGGGGAGGUGCCCUAGCGGCGAACGGGUGAGUAACACGUGGGCAACCUGCCCCUAGCUCUGGGAUAACCCCGGGAAACCGGGGCUAAUACUGGAUAUGACCUUGGAAGGCAUCUUCUGGGGUGGAAAGAUUUAUUGGCUAGGGAUGGGCCCGCGGCCUAUCAGCUUGUUGGUGGGGUGAUGGCCUACCAAGGCGGCGACGGGUAGCCGGCCUGAGAGGGCAACCGGCCACACUGGGACUGAGACACGGCCCAGACUCCUACGGGAGGCAGCAGUGGGGAAUCUUGCGCAAUGGGCGGAAGCCUGACGCAGCAACGCCGCGUGAGGGAUGAC
This 384-nucleotide ribosomal RNA is filed under the name uncultured bacterium. RNAcentral's name for it is "bacterial SSU rRNA". It matches the Rfam family "Bacterial small subunit ribosomal RNA", at positions 28 to 412 of the family's 1533-position model. The record is from RNAcentral.